AAUUAUAUCCCUCGUUAACCCCAUUUGAGCCUAUAUCCAUUUGUUUGUUUAAACCCCAUAAAUGUACCCCUUGGUCAAACACACUUCCUUACCCUGUUUAGAGUCAUGAUAAUACAUUCAAAUUGUGUUGAAAAGCGAAGUUUGGGGUAAAAACCCCAAAAGCUCCCAAAGCCCAAGAAAGUGUGAGACAAAAACUUGAAAAAAUGAUGAAUCGAGAGAAAGAAAGAAAAAAAUAAAA
RNAcentral lists this long non-coding RNA (238 nucleotides) under Lathyrus oleraceus (garden pea). RNAcentral's name for it is "Pisum sativum (pea) long non-coding RNA (PSAT_LNC011595)". Lineage: Eukaryota; Viridiplantae; Streptophyta; Magnoliopsida; Fabales; Fabaceae. The record is from RNAcentral.